UUAAGCGACUAAGCGUACACGGUGGAUGCCCUGGCAGUCAGAGGCGAUGAAGGACGUGCUAAUCUGCGAUAAGCGCCGGUAAGGUGAUAUGAACCGUUAUAACCGGCGAUUUCCGAAUGGGGAAACCCAGUGUGACUCGUCACACUAUCAUUAACUGAAUCCAUAGGUUAAUGAGGCGAACCGGGGGAACUGAAACAUCUAAGUACCCCGAGGAAAAGAAAUCAACCGAGAUUCCCCCAGUAGCGGCGAGCGAACGGGGAGGAGCCCAGAGCCUGAAUCAGCAUGUGUGUUAGUGGAAGCGUCUGGAAAGGCGCGCGAUACAGGGUGACAGCCCCGUACACAAAAGCGCAUGUGCUGUGAGCUCGAUGAGUAGGGCGGGACACGUGGUAUCCUGUCUGAAUAUGGGGGGACCAUCCUCCAAGGCUAAAUACUCCUGACUGACCGAUAGUGAACCAGUACCGUGAGGGAAAGGCGAAAAGAACCCCGGCGAGGGGAGUGAAAAAGAACCUGAAACCGUGUACGUACAAGCAGUGGGAGCACAGGUUUACCUGUGUGACUGCGUACCUUUUGUAUAAUGGGUCAGCGACUUAUAUUCUGUAGCAAGGUUAACCGAAUAGGGGAGCCGUAGGGAAACCGAGUCUUAAUUGGGCGUUAAGUUGCAGGGUAUAGACCCGAAACCCGGUGAUCUAGCCAUGGGCAGGUUGAAGGUUGGGUAACACUAACUGGAGGACCGAACCGACUAAUGUUGAAAAAUUAGCGGAUGACCUGUGGCUGGGGGUGAAAGGCCAAUCAAACCGGGAGAUAGCUGGUUCUCCCCGAAAGCUAUUUAGGUAGCGCCUCGUGAAUUCAUCUCCGGGGGUAGAGCACUGUUUCGGCUAGGGGGCCAUCCCGGCUUACCAACCCGAUGCAAACUGCGAAUACCGGAGAAUGUUAUCACGGGAGACACACGGCGGGUGCUAACGUCCGUCGUGAAGAGGGAAACAACCCAGACCGCCAGCUAAGGUCCCAAAGUCAUGGUUAAGUGGGAAACGAUGUGGGAAGGCCCAGACAGCCAGGAUGUUGGCUUAGAAGCAGCCAUCAUUUAAAGAAAGCGUAAUAGCUCACUGGUCGAGUCGGCCUGCGCGGAAGAUGUAACGGGGCUAAACCAUGCACCGAAGCUGCGGCAGCGAACGUAUCACUUAAAGCGAUUCAGCGGGUUACGAUUGACGGAGCGAAGCGACGUCAAAGCGUAUACAAAGUCGAGUCGGUUUAAGGAUACGUUCGUUGGGUAGGGGAGCGUUCUGUAAGCCUGUGAAGGUGGCCUGUGAGGGUUGCUGGAGGUAUCAGAAGUGCGAAUGCUGACAUAAGUAACGAUAAAGCGGGUGAAAAGCCCGCUCGCCGGAAGACCAAGGGUUCCUGUCCAACGUUAAUCGGGGCAGGGUGAGUCGACCCCUAAGGCGAGGCCGAAAGGCGUAGUCGAUGGGAAACGGGUUAAUAUUCCCGUACUUGGUGUUACUGCGAAGGGGGGACGGAGAAGGCUAUGUUGGCCGGGCGACGGUUGUCCCGGUUUAAGCGUGUAGGCUGGUUUUCCAGGCAAAUCCGGAAAAUCAAGGCUGAGGCGUGACGACGAGGCACUACGGUGCUGAAGCAACAAAUGCCCUGCUUCCAGGAAAAGCCUCUAAGCAUCAGGUAACAUCAAAUCGUACCCCAAACCGACACAGGUGGUCAGGUAGAGAAUACCAAGGCGCUUGAGAGAACUCGGGUGAAGGAACUAGGCAAAAUGGUGCCGUAACUUCGGGAGAAGGCACGCUGACAUGUAGGUGAAGUGAUUUACUCAUGGAGCUGAAGUCAGUCGAAGAUACCAGCUGGCUGCAACUGUUUAUUAAAAACACAGCACUGUGCAAACACGAAAGUGGACGUAUACGGUGUGACGCCUGCCCGGUGCCGGAAGGUUAAUUGAUGGGGUCAGCGCAAGCGAAGCUCCUGAUCGAAGCCCCGGUAAACGGCGGCCGUAACUAUAACGGUCCUAAGGUAGCGAAAUUCCUUGUCGGGUAAGUUCCGACCUGCACGAAUGGCGUAAUGAUGGCCAGGCUGUCUCCACCCGAGACUCAGUGAAAUUGAACUCGCUGUGAAGAUGCAGUGUACCCGCGGCAAGACGGAAAGACCCCGUGAACCUUUACUAUAGCUUGACACUGAACAUUGAGCCUUGAUGUGUAGGAUAGGUGGGAGGCUUUGAAGCGUGGACGCCAGUCUGCGUGGAGCCGACCUUGAAAUACCACCCUUUAAUGUUUGAUGUUCUAACGUGGACCCGUAAUCCGGGUUGCGGACAGUGUCUGGUGGGUAGUUUGACUGGGGCGGUCUCCUCCUAAAGAGUAACGGAGGAGCACGAAGGUUGGCUAAUCCUGGUCGGACAUCAGGAGGUUAGUGCAAUGGCAUAAGCCAGCUUGACUGCGAGCGUGACGGCGCGAGCAGGUGCGAAAGCAGGUCAUAGUGAUCCGGUGGUUCUGAAUGGAAGGGCCAUCGCUCAACGGAUAAAAGGUACUCCGGGGAUAACAGGCUGAUACCGCCCAAGAGUUCAUAUCGACGGCGGUGUUUGGCACCUCGAUGUCGGCUCAUCACAUCCUGGGGCUGAAGUAGGUCCCAAGGGUAUGGCUGUUCGCCAUUUAAAGUGGUACGCGAGCUGGGUUUAGAACGUCGUGAGACAGUUCGGUCCCUAUCUGCCGUGGGCGCUGGAGAACUGAGGGGGGCUGCUCCUAGUACGAGAGGACCGGAGUGGACGCAUCACUGGUGUUCGGGUUGUCAUGCCAAUGGCACUGCCCGGUAGCUAAAUGCGGAAGAGAUAAGUGCUGAAAGCAUCUAAGCACGAAACUUGCCCCGAGAUGAGUUCUCCCUGAGACUUAGAGUCUCCUGAAGGAACGUUGAAGACGACGACGUUGAUAGGCCGGGUGUGUAAGCGCAGCGAUGCGUUGAGCUAACCGGUACUAAUGAACCGUGAGGCUUAACCUU
RNAcentral lists this ribosomal RNA (2985 nucleotides) under Salmonella enterica subsp. enterica serovar Singapore. RNAcentral describes it as "bacterial LSU rRNA". It matches the Rfam family "Bacterial large subunit ribosomal RNA". Lineage: Bacteria; Pseudomonadati; Pseudomonadota; Gammaproteobacteria; Enterobacterales; Enterobacteriaceae. The record is from RNAcentral.